GAAAGCCGGCGCAAUCAAGCUAGCAAGCUACGGAGUUUGCCGCCAAUGUAUUUUUUGUAAAGUGUAUAAAAACGAAUAUGGAAGCUGGACAAAUAAGAUGCCAAAAAACAACGAUUUUCAAGGAGGAACUUUUUUUCUCCUCCAUUUGAAAACGUGGACGCCUGAUUCCAAACAUUGCAAGUCAUCAAAAUCAGUAGAUGGCAGUAUUGUCCUGUUUAAGAGGGUCACAACAUUGCUGAGUCAGGUCCACAUGGAGCUGGAGGGGGCGUGGCCUCCAGGUCCAGCAGCCAUGGAUGAAGUGCUGGAUGUCCAGAGUCGGGACCUGGGGUAGACCGCUCGCCUAUGCAUCGGUUAGGGACAUCUCUGCACUGCUGACCCGUCUCCGCUCGAGAUGGUCUCCUGCUGGCCCCACCAUGGACUGGACGAUCACUAUUAUGUUAGAUCUACUAUGGACUGGACUUUCACAAUAUUAUGUUAGACCCACUAUAUGUCCAUUGCAUCCGGUCUCCACUAGAGGUCCUCUCCAAAGUUUCUCCGUCAUUCACAUUUACGUCCCACUGGGUUGUGAGUUUUUCCUUGCCCUUUUGUGGGCUCCGAACAGAGAAUGUCGUUUUGGCUUGUGCAGCCCUUUGAGACACUUGUGAUUUAGGGCUAUAUAAAACAUUGAUUGACAAACUAACUUACCGAAAGUGCUUUGUGGGUGAAAAGGACUGAAAAAGGCUAGAAUAAAAAGGACAUGAGACAAUGACUUUAAUAUUUGAAUGAAAAAAAAAGCGAUAAAAGCAGUGUUUAAUUUGGUAAAAGAUAUAAUUGGAGGUAAAACAUUCAAAUUACACUGGAGUGGUAAACAUUUCUGGCUUCACAGUCAAGCGAUCAAGGGUUUGAUUCUUCACUGGAACGUUUGUGUGCAAUUAGCCUCUCUUUUACUUGAGUGCACUCUUACAGUAGGUAAGGUUGAAUUGUUGCCUCAUUCCCGUGAGAAUCCUGCCUGUGACUGACUCAUUAAGUUGUGUGACUAUCCAGCAUCAGCUGCAGUGUGCUCAAGCAAACACCAGGAAGCAUCUGUGAGCAUUCUCUUUCUCAGGUCGGUAGUGCAUUCUUCACUCACGCUUUAAAGGCCUACUGAAAUGAGAUUUUAUUUAAACGGGGAUAGCAGGUCCAUUCUAUGUGUCAUACUUGAUCAUUUCACGAUAUUGUCAUAUUUUUGCUGAAAAGGAUUUAGUAGAGAAUAUCCACGAUAAAGUUCGCAACUUUUGGUCGCAAAUAGAAAAGCCCUGCCUUUACCGGAAGUCGCAGACGAUGACGUCACAUGUUGAUGGCUCCUCACAUCCUUACAUUGUUUUUAAUGGGAGCCUCCAACAAAAAGCUAUUCGGACCGAGAAAACGACAAUUUCCCCAUUAAUUUGAGCCAGGAUGAAGGUUUCGUGUUUGAGAAUAUUGAUAGCGACGGACUAGAAAAAAAAAAAAAAAAAAAAUCAAGUAAAAAAAAAAAAAAAAAGGCAAUUGCAUUGUGAGCAAUUCAGAUUUUUUUAGACACAUUUACUAGGAUAAUUCUGGUCAAUCCCUUAUCUUUCUAUUGUGCUGCUAGUGUUUUAGUGAGUUUAACAGUACCUGAUAGUUGGAGGUGUGUGUCCACGGGCGUCUUGACACCAAUGUCUCAGUGAAGUCGACGGCAGCUGUAUGGACGGCACAACCUCAGCUGAUCUCCGGUAAGUGGCGACUUUUUACCACAAUUUUCUCACCGAAAACUGCUGGUUGACAUUUGGUCGGGAUCCAUGUUCGCUUGACCGCUCUGAUCCAUAGUAAAGUUUCACCUCCAGGAAUUUUAAACAAUGAAUCACCGUGUGUUUGUGUGGCUAAAGCUUCCCAACUCCAUCUUUCUACUUUGACUUCAUUAUUAAUUGAACAAAUUGCAAAAGAUUCAGCAACACAGAUGUCCAGAAUACUGUGUAAUUAUGCGGUUAAAGCAGACGACUUUUAGCUGGGUGUGUGUGCGCAGCGCUAAUAUUUCCCAACAGUCCGUGACGUCCCGCCUACACAUCAUUCUGCAACGUUUUCAACAAGAAACUCCCGGGAAAUUUAAAAUUGCAAUUUAGUAAACUAAACCGGCCGUAUUGGCAUGUGUUGCAAUGUUAAUAUUUCAUCAUUGAUAUAUAAACUAUCAGACUGCGUGGUGGGUAAUAGUGGGUUUCAGUAGGCCUUUAAGUGAGGGAUGAGGAAAAACUUAACCUACCCUCUGUAUUUUUCCUUUAUACAGCGCAAUAGCAUACUGUUGGGUUAAUACCUUUCUGACAAAACUGAGCUUUACAAAUGUAAAAAAUGAUCAAGUGAAGAAAUGUCUGGUGCACAACAAAAUGUUUGAUACUGGUUUAUUAAUUUUUUGGCAAUACAUUGACAUUUUCCCCACAAGUAAAUAGCAAAGUGUUACAGUCAAGUCUGAUCGCUGGACGAUGCUGCAUGCGGUGAGCGUGUUUUAUGUACAUGACCAAAUUUCUAAAAAGAUUAUGGCGAUUCUAAACUGCAACUAAACCACCAAAAAAAAACAAAAAAAACAUUUGUGUAUGAAUGACUUGGAAAAUGACUCCGACUAUUUGGUAGGGUACUAACCCCACCCAAAGCCCAAACCCCCAUCUGUAAGAUGUGUUGAAACAUUUACAAAGAAAAAAAUAAAAAUAAGAUGUUGGGAAGUGUGUUCUUUUCUGCUGUUUAAGCUUGUCCGCAGCACUUGCCCUCAAUCGAUAGGACACGUCCGCCCA
Nerophis ophidion (straightnose pipefish) is the source of this 2756-nucleotide long non-coding RNA. RefSeq lists it as uncharacterized. The record is from RefSeq and is a predicted model, not a curated record. Lineage: Eukaryota; Metazoa; Chordata; Actinopteri; Syngnathiformes; Syngnathidae. The transcript is spliced from 2 exons.